GCACAAGCGGUGGAGCAUGUGGUUUAAUUCGAUGGUACGCGAGGAACCUUACCUGGGCUAGAAUGCAGUCUGACCGCCGGUGAAAGCUGGUUUUGUAGCAAUACACAGAUUGUAAGGUGCUGCAUGGCUGUCGUCAGCUCGUGCCGUGGGGUGUUGGGUUAAGUCCCGCAACGAGCGCAACCCCUAUCACUAGUUGCCAUCAGGUAAUGCUGGGAACUCUAGUGAAACUGCCGUCGUAAGACGCGAGGAAGGAGGGGAUGAUGUCAAGUCAUCAUGGCCUUUAUGCCCAGGGCUACACACGUGCUACAAUGGGAAGGACAAAGGGUUGCUACCUGGUAACGGGAUGCUAAUCUCAAAAACCUUCUCUCAGUUCGAAUUGAGGUCUGCAACUCGACCUCAUGAAGCUGGAAUCGCUAGUAAUCGUAUAUCAGCAAUGAUACGGUGAAUACGUUCCCGGGC
Molecule: ribosomal RNA, 459 nt
Filed under: uncultured bacterium
Lineage: Bacteria
Description: bacterial SSU rRNA
Rfam family: Bacterial small subunit ribosomal RNA
Source: RNAcentral